GCCCGCAUGUAAGCAUGGGUAAAAACCACUGAAGGGUCUAGCUGCAUAUAUUAGCCACCGCAUAUACGGUAAGACUGUAAGACUGAAGUUAUGCGUUGGCUAAUAUAUGCAGCAAAUCGCUUCAGUGCUUUUUACCCAUGCUUACAUGCGGGCUUGUCGCGUAGUCGCAAAGCCGGUUGAUGGCAACCUUUUGUCAAACGACUGUGUGAUUAUCGAUUAACACAGUCGUCCCGAGUUGCGCAAUAUUAUACGCAAGAGUCUUUGCCCAUUCAACUGGCGCAUUUCAGCAAUCUUCGAUUGCCGCCAUCUUGAAUAUUGAAAUCUCACCUGAGAAUCGCUUGUACUUGUGCAGUCAAAACGGCAAGUCUGGCUAUUUUAUUACUACAAAUGGAAUCAAGGUUUUGCUAUCUAUAAUGCCAUCGCUUAAAAUCAUUCUCAAUUUGGAAUUUAACCCCGUAUUAUUUCGUCUUGGAAAGAUUUGCGAUUCCACACGAGACGAGGCAGACUCGAUUCUCCCAAUACUACUACUACAACAACUACUACUACCAUCAGAUACAAGUACAUGAAGACUGCUACAAGGCCUAAGUUAAAAUGCUCUGGGUGCUUGGGAAUGAACUAGAGCAUAUCCAAGCAAGAAAGGUGAAGUAAAAGCUAACAGCGGAUUGAAGCCGGCAACAGAUGUAACAUAGGAAGAACAGCAUCAGAAAGUAAGUGAAUUUAUGCAAAUUACUCAUGACUAAAACCAGUAAAUCAUCUCUGCUACUUGACAAGUCUGCGCUCUUCAAUUGGAAUCCUGUUAGUUAUUAACCCAUUGACUCCUGGCUAUUUUCUAGCUGAAUUUACAAAAAAAAAAACAGACCUAAAACAGAUACCUCAUCUAUUAAGCCUGGCUGAUUGUGUAAUUUAGGAAAAUAUCCAUACCCCCCACAGAGGGUUUGGCUCAAAGUCCCAGGAAAUUUCAGGGGGUUUGGUAGUAUAGUGCAUUUCACCAUUUCCAGGAGGUCAAUUUUGCUCCAGGAUCUCAAACAGCUACACAAAUUCAAUAGUUUGCAAAGAUUGUUGCAGCUAUGAUGCUGGAGAAAUUCACCUAUAGCCUCUAAUGAUAUGUUAACUGUACAGAAGUAGUAGUUUCCUGUUUAGUCCUUGUGUGCGAAAGUUGGUAUUUCAGGAUCACACAAAAUGUACUCCACCCCUGAAUAUCUGUCACCAUCAGCUGGUGCUCUGACUUCUGAUUGGAAAAUGCUUUAGCUUUCUGGCGUAAUUCUGUAUCCUCUUCCUGACAAAGAGAGCCAUCAUUGUUUAUCAACUUCACGAAAGGGCUUUCAAUGAAGGGCUUCGGUGUGGUGCACUCAUUGCCUAAAGUUGAAUAAAAAACUUUGUUGUAACUAAAAGUCUGGCCAAACUCCAGUGAUGGUGCCUCCAAAUCUAUGGACUGUGCAAAGUUCUCUGCCAGUGCAUUUAGUUGCACUGACUUUCUUGUGUGAUACGUCAUAGUCUGACUCGUUCGAGCAUUGGUCAGACAUGGGGUUCGUCCGAUUUGGCUCUAAUUUGGCAUGCAGGCUUCUUUUGGGUCCUCUAGUACGGAUUUGCAU
This is a long non-coding RNA of Nematostella vectensis (starlet sea anemone), 1592 nucleotides long. RefSeq lists it as uncharacterized. The record is from RefSeq and is a predicted model, not a curated record. Lineage: Eukaryota; Metazoa; Cnidaria; Anthozoa; Actiniaria; Edwardsiidae. The transcript is spliced from 2 exons.